RNAcentral lists this small RNA (555 nucleotides) under Pan troglodytes (chimpanzee). RNAcentral's name for it is "processed transcript". Lineage: Eukaryota; Metazoa; Chordata; Mammalia; Primates; Hominidae. The record is from RNAcentral.
CCCAGCAACUACGUGGCCCCCGGCGCCCCCGCUGCACCCGCGGGCCUCCAGCUGCCCCAGGAGAUCCCCUUCCACGAGCUGCAGCUAGAGGAGAUCAUCGGUGUGGGGGGCUUUGGCAAGGUCUAUCGGGCCCUGUGGCGUGGCGAGGAGGUGGCAGUCAAGGCCGCCCGGCUGGACCCUGAGAAGGACCCGGCAGUGACAGCGGAGCAGGUGGCCCGGGGCAUGAACUACCUACACAAUGAUGCCCCUGUGCCCAUCAUCCACCGCGACCUCAAGUCCAUCAACAUCCUGAUCCUGGAGGCCAUCGAGAACCACAACCUCGCAGACACGGUGCUCAAGAUCACGGACUUUGGCCUCGCCCGCGAGUGGCACAAGACCACCAAGAUGAGCGCUGCGGGGACCUACGCCUGGAUGGCACCGGAGCUUCGGGGUGCUGCUGUGGGAGCUGCUGACGGGGGAGGUCCCCUACCGUGAGAUCGACGCCUUGGCCGUGGCGUAUGGCGUGGCUAUGAAUAAGCUGACGCUGCCCAUUCCCUCCACGUGCCCCGAGCCCUU